AUACUUAAAUGGCAGGGGAAAUAUCCAAUCAAGAGGGUGGUUUCCCCAGGAUGAAGCUCUUCCAGUGUAAUCUUCGGUUGGGUAGACACCUGUGAUUUCUAAAGAUGUAGGAAACUCAACUGCAUAAUUUAUGAUAGCGAGGGACUGCAUUCAUGCAGUCCUCUA
Protopterus annectens (West African lungfish) is the source of this 165-nucleotide small nuclear RNA. RefSeq annotates it as U1 spliceosomal RNA. The record is from RefSeq and is a predicted model, not a curated record. The transcript has a single exon. NCBI's taxonomy places the organism in Eukaryota, Metazoa, Chordata, Ceratodontiformes, Protopteridae.